This 253-nucleotide ribosomal RNA is filed under the name uncultured bacterium. Its description in RNAcentral is "partial 16S ribosomal RNA". It matches the Rfam family "Bacterial small subunit ribosomal RNA", at positions 524 to 776 of the family's 1533-position model. The record is from RNAcentral.
UACGAAGGGGGCUAGCGUUGCUCGGAAUCACUGGGCGUAAAGCGCACGUAGGCGGCUUUUUAAGUCCGGGGUGAAAUCCUGGAGCUCAACUCCAGAACUGCCUUUGAUACUGAGAAGCUUGAGUCCGGGAGAGGUGAGUGGAACUGCGAGUGUAGAGGUGAAAUUCGUAGAUAUUCGCAAGAACACCAGUGGCGAAGGCGGCUCACUGGCCCGGUACUGACGCUGAGAUGCGAAAGCGUGGGGAGCAAACAGG